GCCACUGCUUGCACCUGCUGCUGGUGCCCAGCACUGGUCCUGAUCACUUGGCACCAUCAGCGGGUGCAAGCGGCGGCUG
Molecule: microRNA precursor, 79 nt
Filed under: Myotis brandtii (Brandt's bat)
Lineage: Eukaryota; Metazoa; Chordata; Mammalia; Chiroptera; Vespertilionidae
Description: mir-9198 microRNA precursor family
Rfam family: mir-9198 microRNA precursor family
Source: Rfam by way of RNAcentral